RNAcentral lists this ribosomal RNA (628 nucleotides) under uncultured organism. RNAcentral describes it as "SSU rRNA". It matches the Rfam family "Bacterial small subunit ribosomal RNA", at positions 853 to 1481 of the family's 1533-position model. The record is from RNAcentral.
UAACGCGUUAAGUCGACCGCCUGGGGAGUACGGCCGCAAGGUUAAAACUCAAAUGAAUUGACGGGGGCCCGCACAAGCGGUGGAGCAUGUGGUUUAAUUCGAUGCAACGCGAAGAACCUUACCUGGUCUUGACAUCCACGGAAGUUUUCAGAGAUGAGAAUGUGCCUUCGGGAACCGUGAGACAGGUGCUGCAUGGCUGUCGUCAGCUCGUGUUGUGAAAUGUUGGGUUAAGUCCCGCAACGAGCGCAACCCUUAUCCUUUGUUGCCAGCGGUCCGGCCGGGAACUCAAAGGAGACUGCCAGUGAUAAACUGGAGGAAGGUGGGGAUGACGUCAAGUCAUCAUGGCCCUUACGACCAGGGCUACACACGUGCUACAAUGGCGCAUACAAAGAGAAGCGACCUCGCGAGAGCAAGCGGACCUCAUAAAGUGCGUCGUAGUCCGGAUUGGAGUCUGCAACUCGACUCCAUGAAGUCGGAAUCGCUAGUAAUCGUGGAUCAGAAUGCCACGGUGAAUACGUUCCCGGGCCUUGUACACACCGCCCGUCACACCAUGGGAGUGGGUUGCAAAAGAAGUAGGUAGCUUAACCUUCGGGAGGGCGCUUACCACUUUGUGAUUCAUGACUGGGGU